Molecule: unclassified non-coding RNA, 574 nt
Filed under: Clonostachys rosea f. rosea
Lineage: Eukaryota; Fungi; Ascomycota; Sordariomycetes; Hypocreales; Bionectriaceae
Description: sequence contains 18S rRNA gene, ITS1, 5.8S rRNA gene, ITS2, 28S rRNA gene
Rfam family: 5.8S ribosomal RNA (bases 201-354)
Source: RNAcentral
UCGUAACAAGGUCUCCGUUGGUGAACCAGCGGAGGGAUCAUUACCGAGUUUACAACUCCCAAACCCAUGUGAACAUACCUACUGUUGCUUCGGCGGGAUUGCCCCGGGCGCCUCGUGUGCCCCGGAUCAGGCGCCCGCCUAGGAAACUUAAUUCUUGUUUUAUUUUGGAAUCUUCUGAGUAGUUUUUACAAAUAAAUAAAAACUUUCAACAACGGAUCUCUUGGUUCUGGCAUCGAUGAAGAACGCAGCGAAAUGCGAUAAGUAAUGUGAAUUGCAGAAUUCAGUGAAUCAUCGAAUCUUUGAACGCACAUUGCGCCCGCCAGUAUUCUGGCGGGCAUGCCUGUCUGAGCGUCAUUUCAACCCUCAUGCCCCUAGGGCGUGGUGUUGGGGAUCGGCCAAAGCCCGCGAGGGACGGCCGGCCCCUAAAUCUAGUGGCGGACCCGUCGUGGCCUCCUCUGCGAAGUAGUGAUAUUCCGCAUCGGAGAGCGACGAGCCCCUGCCGUUAAACCCCCAACUUUCCAAGGUUGACCUCAGAUCAGGUAGGAAUACCCGCUGAACUUAAGCAUAUCAAUAA